This 482-nucleotide ribosomal RNA is filed under the name Fusarium sp. RNAcentral's name for it is "partial large subunit ribosomal RNA". It matches the Rfam family "Eukaryotic large subunit ribosomal RNA", at positions 66 to 559 of the family's 3401-position model. The record is from RNAcentral. RNAcentral also lists the same sequence under 3 other names. Lineage: Eukaryota; Fungi; Ascomycota; Sordariomycetes; Hypocreales; Nectriaceae.
CAACAGGGAUUGCCCCAGUAACGGCGAGUGAAGCGGCAACAGCUCAAAUUUGAAAUCUGGCUCUCGGGCCCGAGUUGUAAUUUGUAGAGGAUGCUUUUGGUGAGGUGCCUUCCGAGUUCCCUGGAACGGGACGCCAUAGAGGGUGAGAGCCCCGUCUGGUUGGACACCGAUCCUCUGUAAAGCUCCUUCGACGAGUCGAGUAGUUUGGGAAUGCUGCUCUAAAUGGGAGGUAUAUGUCUUCUAAAGCUAAAUACCGGCCAGAGACCGAUAGCGCACAAGUAGAGUGAUCGAAAGAUGAAAAGAACUUUGAAAAGAGAGUUAAACAGUACGUGAAAUUGUUGAAAGGGAAGCGCUUGUGACCAGACUUGGGCUUGGUUGAUCAUCCGGGGUUCUCCCCGGUGCACUCUUCCGGCUCAGGCCAGCAUCAGUUCGCCCUGGGGGAUAAAGGCUUCGGGAAUGUGGCUCUCUCCGGGGAGUGUUAU